Molecule: unclassified non-coding RNA, 421 nt
Filed under: Hevea brasiliensis (rubber tree)
Lineage: Eukaryota; Viridiplantae; Streptophyta; Magnoliopsida; Malpighiales; Euphorbiaceae
Source: RNAcentral
GGGGAAGCUGCGGGAGAGGCCGCCGAUGGCCUUGCAGGUGAGCUUGCCGGUGGGGGGGUCGUCGACGGCGAUCUCGUGGAGGGUGACCCAGAUGAGGAGCUCCUUGGCCUUGACGCCGGUGAUCUUGCGGAGGCGGCCCUUCUCGGCGACGGCGGAGACCUCGGCGGCGUAGCUGACGUGGCGGCCGGCCUUGGCGAAGAAGUGGUCCACCUUCCGCCGCUGCUUCAGCCACACGAACCCGGUCUCCUCCACGUAGCCGCACUCGAUGAUGUCGCGGAGAGGGAGGAGGCCGCUGGGGAGCCCCGUCUCCUCCAGCAGCAGCCGCGUCUUCUCCUGCCCGGCCUCGUCGCCGACGUACACCUCCGCCUUCGCCCGCACGUCGUCCGGGAUCGUCAGCGUCAUCGUCGCCGGCGCCGGAGAA